This 71-nucleotide transfer RNA is filed under the name Camelus bactrianus (Bactrian camel). It matches the Rfam family "tRNA". From Rfam's summary of the family: Transfer RNA (tRNA) molecules are approximately 80 nucleotides in length. RNAcentral also lists the same sequence under 2 other names. The record is from Rfam by way of RNAcentral. Lineage: Eukaryota; Metazoa; Chordata; Mammalia; Artiodactyla; Camelidae.
GAGGGUAUAGCUCAGCAGUAGAGUGCAUGUUUAGCAUGCAAGUGGCCCGGAUGUGAUCCCCAGUACCUUCA